RNAcentral lists this ribosomal RNA (3189 nucleotides) under Triticum aestivum (bread wheat). Its description in RNAcentral is "partial small subunit ribosomal RNA". The record is from RNAcentral. Lineage: Eukaryota; Viridiplantae; Streptophyta; Magnoliopsida; Poales; Poaceae.
UUUGCUCGCCAACUAUGCCGCGGGAGCCGGGAGGACACGCCGAAGCGAAUGGGUGAGCGUCGUCCGAUCGACUGAUCGUUCAUCGUGGGCAGCGGCUCUUCAUAGAGGGAAGGCGAGGGGAGAGGGGAUGGGAAGGGGAUGGGAAGGCCCAGAGCGGGAGGCGGAGUGACCAGGCGGAGGCGGCAGAGCAUCAAAGAGGGGGGCCGUCUAGAAGGUGGAACAGGGGAGUCGGUAUAGCUAGACGAAAAGGAGGGGUGGCGGUACCGACCCAUCACGGCGGCGUCAGCACACUUAACGACACCGGCCAGCAUAAACGAGAGGCAACUCGCUGAUUAAGGAGAGGCUCGUCCACGAGGGGCCGGCGACAGAGGUGAUUCACGCGAAGUGAAAGGAUAAUGAGCACCUAAACUCACGGCACCACACUACCGUCUGCAAGUUCUACCAGUAAUACUAAGCAGGUGACUGUCGAACGCGCAACUCGGAUAAAUACUUAGUAAAGAAACAGGUGAGUGUUUUGUUUAAUACGCCCUAGGACAGUGAAAUCUCUCACCACGAUGUAAACUUGCCCUUCGGUAAAACUUCACCAAGGUCCUUAGACUAUCGUCACCUUCCUCGGAAUAGACGGGAUAAUGAUCCUUCCUCGAGUCGUCGUGACUCAACUUAGGUUCGUAACGAGACUCUUUGUGAUAACUACUUACCUACGUAUCCUUACUCCGUCGAUUUGAACUACAUCGGGCAUUUAGGAAUUGAAGGCUCUUAAGUCUUGUACUAUGAAACGUUCGUGAACUUAUACAACACCUCUAUACAGUCUCUUCAUCUAGGUCGUCUGUACAUCACUCCUUCGAACCGAACUAUUCGAAUUAAAGGCUCGACAACUUCUUAUCGUCAUGUUUUCAUGCCGUUUUCAGUAACCUUUCAGAAACGAAACAUCGAUUUCUACUGUUACUAUUGUUCCUACUCUAACGACGGCCCCUGUUAUAAGCGUGUUAUCACUUCAAGAAUAGAGUACCGGUGCAGGUUCUCUUUCUUGUCCGACGUAGAGACAAUAUACUUGAAAGUGUUAUAUUUGGAGAAAGUCUUUUUUAACCCUCGCAAGGACCCCGGUAUGAAUAUGAACAACCGAACAGUUCAUCAUUUUAUCUUUUGGACAACUGUCAACUAUCCCGACUAUUCUGUGAACACUUAAACCUCUCGACACUUUUUUUACAAUCUGUCUACCGCCUUUUGCCAUCUGACGUUGGCGAAGAAUCCGAAGAAGAACUUCCAAGUCGACUAUGUGUUAAUAGAUACCGACGAAUACAACCCCUCGAACAAAAUUGGUUGCUCCACUUCCAGAAACACCGUGUUUGUCGUCCGAGGCGUGAUCAGUUAUAGUACUUUUCACCCUUAUCCCUCCGAUCUCUUCGUCGAGACUUCCGUGACUUAGUUUAAAGUAGAAUGCUGCAGUCACGCUUCUAUGAUUAACUUCGUCCAUAAGAGGGUGGAGAGUAUCGUCUGGAGAAAUGUCAACCGUCAUUAGUCGAAGGUUACUCCAACUUCUUCCAUAGUCGUUGUUAAGAACGUUUACAACACCGUAGUCCACGUUUAAAAGUCAGGUAAGGUGAACUGGUGUUGUCCGUCUGUGACCAUAGACUUCUUUAACAAGUGUUAGACGAAGUAGAGUAGUCGUUAUGUCCUGGACGUUGACUCACAUUCAAUGAGGUCCACGAACAACCAAAUUGAUCAAGAAGAUGUUGACAGGUUCCGUAUCAACUACGGUAGUUUUCGAGUCCCCGAUGACAGUCAAAUUAAGUCAAAUAACUUCGUGGAGUUUCUCUCCAAGCGUACCGAAGGUAGUUCGAGAACUUAUUGUAUAGUGGUACAUACCCAGUUCUUGACCGACUUCGAAAAGCACCUUUAAAAUCAGUUGAGUCGUCGAACUAAUCUCAGUAACGACUGUUGUUACCAUAAAGACUUCUCGUUCGUGGUCGACGACCAGAACAUCGACUAGAAGGAGACGUCCUAAGCCACGAUUGGUCUGCAGAACAACUUCUACCCCGAAAGUGGUGUUAUUAUAGGUUUCACUAUUACUAGUCUGUUCCCCUCUCAGCACCCCCCGCAAAGCAGUUGGGAAAAGAACUUCCAGAUCAAUCCUAUCAGAGGGCCUAGUGUAAAUAGAACCUCCUACUAGGUCUAUAGUAACGACAACGAGCACUUAUGUUAGAGUGACGUGAUAAAUCACUAGACGAAGUCUACUUACCAGAACUGUGACAGGUCUAACAGAGACGGUGGCGUGAUCCUUUAGAUAGACCGGUCAGUUUCGUAGAUUGCUUCUAAGACGGUGGAGGGUUGCCCCCUAACACAAAAAGUUAUAAAGGUACGGAGUCAGUCUUCAGACAUCUUUGACCACAGACAUCUCAAGUAGUACCUUAUACAAGCAGUUCCCUUUCGAAGACAGAGAACCUUCCCUUCCACCACCUCUUCAACCAACGAACGAACCUAGUGUUGUUACUCUUUCAACAACUUCGGAGAGAUUGUCGUGACAGGUGUAAUAAUCUGCUACCUGACCUGUAACUAGUUCCACACUACCAGGACACGCUGCGUCUCCCGCAGUUUGGUUAAGAACUACAUAACACACUCUUAGCCUGACUCCGCGACUCCGUCUCUCGCCACACCCGUCAUCUUUCCUAGGAAUCCUGCCUACUUUAUCGAAUACUCUAGAGCCCUUUGGUUUUACAGUCAUGUCGGAACCAACUUCGAAAGUCCGUACCACUGAAAUCCUGUUCCGUUUAACGUCUCGCUCGUGAUUUCGUACAACUAUUCGACGGGUUAAAGAGACCCUAUAAAAGCUUCUAGCCUCGUGUCACUGGUACAAUACGUCUUCAUCCGAUCAAGAGAAUAUGGCCAGCGGACGUCUAGGAAACCCAACGUAUUUCUAUGCAUUGAGUUUAUAACCGCGUACGGAUUAGAGUGUGGUUAGUCAACGAAAGGGUCGAAUUAGCACAAUCAUGACGGCGAGAGGUUCAUCAAGGGUUUGAUUAGCUUAACUAUCUUACCCUUGACUUCCAUAACAACCACACAUAGCAUAUCACAUAUAAAGGUGGGACAUACGAACAACAUAGACAUAAUAAGUCUACGAGUCUACGUAUCGUACUAUAAAAACACACUUAUAGGUAAAGACACGGACUCGGGUAGACUAGAGCUACUUGU